This 520-nucleotide ribosomal RNA is filed under the name uncultured bacterium. RNAcentral describes it as "partial 16S ribosomal RNA". It matches the Rfam family "Bacterial small subunit ribosomal RNA", at positions 355 to 864 of the family's 1533-position model. The record is from RNAcentral.
UGGGGAAUAUUGCACAAUGGGCGCAAGCCUGAUGCAGCCAUGCCGCGUGUGUGAAGAAGGCCUUCGGGUUGUAAAGCACUUUCAGCGAGGAGGAAGGUGGUGAACUUAAUACGUUCAUCAAUUGACGUUACUCGCAGAAGAAGCACCGGCUAACUCCGUGCCAGCAGCCGCGGUAAUACGGAGGGUGCAAGCGUUAAUCGGAAUUACUGGGCGUAAAGCGCACGCAGGCGGUUUGUUAAGUCAGAUGUGAAAUCCCCGGGCUCAACCUGGGAACUGCAUUUGAAACUGGCAAGCUAGAGUCUCGUAGAGGGGGGUAGAAUUCCAGGUGUAGCGGUGAAAUGCGUAGAGAUCUGGAGGAAUACCGGUGGCGAAGGCGGCCCCCCUGGACGAAGACUGACGCUCAGGUGCGAAAGCGUGGGGAGCAAACAGGAUUAGAUAACCCUGGUAGUCCAGCGCUGUGAACGAUGUCGAUUUGGAGGUUGUGCCCUUGAGGCGUGGCUUCCGGAGCUAACGCGUUAAA